RNAcentral lists this ribosomal RNA (429 nucleotides) under Chloroflexota bacterium. RNAcentral's name for it is "Chloroflexi bacterium partial 16S ribosomal RNA". It matches the Rfam family "Bacterial small subunit ribosomal RNA", at positions 355 to 776 of the family's 1533-position model. Lineage: Bacteria; Bacillati; Chloroflexota. The record is from RNAcentral.
UGGGGAAUAUUGCACAAUGGGCGCAAGCCUGAUGCAGCCAUGCCGCGUGUAUGAAGAAGGCCUUCGGGUUGUAAAGUACUUUCAGUCGGGAGGAAGGUGGUAAGGUUAAUAACCUUAUCAAUUGACGUUACCGACAGAAGAAGCACCGGCUAACUCCGUGCCAGCAGCUGCGGUAAUACGGAGGGUGCAAGCGUUAAUCGGAAUUACUGGGCGUAAAGCGCACGCAGGCGGUUGAUUGAGUCAGAUGUGAAAUCCCCGGGCUUAACCCGGGAAUUGCAUCUGAUACUGGUCAGCUAGAGUCUUGUAGAGGGGGGUAGAAUUCCAUGUGUAGCGGUGAAAUGCGUAGAGAUGUGGAGGAAUACCGGUGGCGAAGGCGACCCCCUGGACAAAGACUGACGCUCAGGUGCGAAAGCGUGGGGAGCAAACAGG